GGAAAGUUGGUUACCGAUGCCGGCGUUAAUAAGGAUGGUAAGCGCGAACAAAGUGGUAAAGUUGAUAUUACUGGCGUUGGAGGCAUUAGAUUGUUUUCGUCGUCAUUGGAGGGCUCCGACGCCGACGCCGACGCCGACGCCGGAACUAGCAGAGCUAGCGCCGAUGGCAUCGUUGCUGCUUCUGAGGGGCGAGAACUGGGGAGUAAGAAGACAGUGAAGAAGAGGAAGAAGAAAGUUAAGAAGCUGGG
This 248-nucleotide unclassified non-coding RNA is filed under the name Hevea brasiliensis (rubber tree). Lineage: Eukaryota; Viridiplantae; Streptophyta; Magnoliopsida; Malpighiales; Euphorbiaceae. The record is from RNAcentral.